AGGGUGUAAACGCUGCAGACUUGGUGUUGGAAAUCCUUCGAGGGUAUUCAGUGCCGGAGAGAAGUUGUUAAGUCUGCUACUUGGGGAGUACGUCCGCAAGGAUGAAACUUAAAGGAAUUGGCGGGGGAGCACCGCAACGGGAGGAGCGUGCGGUUUAAUUGGACUCAACGCCGGGAAGCUCACCGGAUAGGACAGCAGAAUGAUUGCCGGGCUGAAGACCCUGCAUGACUAGCUGAGAGGAGGUGCAUGGCCGUCAGUGACU
Molecule: ribosomal RNA, 262 nt
Filed under: uncultured archaeon
Lineage: Archaea
Description: partial 16S ribosomal RNA
Rfam family: Archaeal small subunit ribosomal RNA
Source: RNAcentral